AUCUCUACUUGGCCUUUCAGCUAAGAUCAAGUGUAGAAUCUGUUCUUAUCAGUUUAAUAUCUGAUAUGUCCUCUAUCUGAGGAUGUAACAAAAAAAGAAAGAAAGAAAAAAAGACAGACAACUGAUCCCUAUUUAGAGAGUACCAACAGGGUUGAGGCCAG
This 161-nucleotide small nuclear RNA is filed under the name Prolemur simus (greater bamboo lemur). RNAcentral describes it as "U2 spliceosomal RNA (ENSPSMG00000020908.1)". The stretch from base 1 to 131 matches the Rfam family "U2 spliceosomal RNA". From Rfam's summary of the family: U2 is a small nuclear RNA (snRNA) component of the spliceosome (involved in pre-mRNA splicing). The record is from RNAcentral. Lineage: Eukaryota; Metazoa; Chordata; Mammalia; Primates; Lemuridae.